GCGGAUGUGGCUCAGUGGUAGAGCAUCUCCUUGCCAAGGAGAGGGUCGUGAGUUCGAAUCUCAUCAUCCGCU
RNAcentral lists this transfer RNA (72 nucleotides) under Gloeobacter violaceus SpSt-379. RNAcentral's name for it is "tRNA-Gly". It matches the Rfam family "tRNA". From Rfam's summary of the family: Transfer RNA (tRNA) molecules are approximately 80 nucleotides in length. Their secondary structure includes four short double-helical elements and three loops (D, anti-codon, and T loops). The record is from RNAcentral. Lineage: Bacteria; Bacillati; Cyanobacteriota; Cyanophyceae; Gloeobacterales; Gloeobacteraceae.